This 468-nucleotide ribosomal RNA is filed under the name uncultured bacterium. RNAcentral's name for it is "partial 16S ribosomal RNA". It matches the Rfam family "Bacterial small subunit ribosomal RNA", at positions 28 to 507 of the family's 1533-position model. The record is from RNAcentral.
GACGAACGCUGGCGGCGUGCUUAACACAUGCAAGUCGAACGGAAAGGCCCUGCUUUUGUUGGGUGCUCGAGUGGCGAACAGGUGAGUAACACGUGAGUAACCUGCCCUUGACUUUGGGAUAACUUCAGGAAACUGGGGCUAAUACCGGAUAUGAGCUCCUGCUGCAUGUGGGGGGUUGGAAAGUUUCGGCGGUUGGGGAUGGACUCGCGGCUUAUCAGCUUGUUGGUGGGGUAGUGGCUUACCAAGGCUUUGACGGGUAGCCGGCCUGAGAGGGUGACCGGCCACAUUGGGACUGAGAUACGGCCCAGACUCCUACGGGAGGCAGCAGUGGGGAAUAUUGCACAAUGGGCGGAAGCCUGAUGCAGCAACGCCGCGUGCGGGAUGACGGCCUUCGGGUUGUAAACCGCUUUCGACUGUGACGAAGCGUGAGUGACGGUAAUGGGUAAAGAAGCACCGGCUAACUACGUG